GUUUCAGUGGUCUAGCGGUUAUGAUUUCUGUCUAACAAACAUUCAUAUUCGCUUGAUUGUACACAGAAGGUUCCAGGUUCGAUUCCUGGCUGAAGUG
Non-coding RNA from Lithohypha guttulata, 97 nucleotides. NCBI's taxonomy places the organism in Eukaryota, Fungi, Ascomycota, Eurotiomycetes, Chaetothyriales, Trichomeriaceae. The record is from the annotation of a RefSeq genome assembly.